UUCCAUUGCACAACCUCCUUGUCAAAGCCUGAUCUUGUCACGUCUCAGAGGCUAAACAAGGCCAGGCCUGGUUAGAGUUUGAUGGGAGACCACUGGGAAUUCCAGGCGCCACAACGGGAC
Molecule: ribosomal RNA, 120 nt
Filed under: Periophthalmus magnuspinnatus
Lineage: Eukaryota; Metazoa; Chordata; Actinopteri; Gobiiformes; Gobiidae
Source: RNAcentral